This 450-nucleotide ribosomal RNA is filed under the name uncultured organism. RNAcentral describes it as "partial 16S ribosomal RNA". It matches the Rfam family "Bacterial small subunit ribosomal RNA", at positions 335 to 801 of the family's 1533-position model. The record is from RNAcentral.
ACUCCUACGGGAGGCAACAGUGGGGAAUAUUGGACAAUGGGCGCAAGCCUGAUCCAGCCAUGCCGCGUGAGUGAUGAAGGCCCUAGGGUUGUAAAGCUCUUUCACCGGUGAAGAUAAUGACGGUAACCGGAGAAGAAGCCCCGGCUAACUUCGUGCCAGCAGCCGCGGUAAUACGAAGGGGGCUAGCGUUGUUCGGAUUUACUGGGCGUAAAGCGCACGUAGGCGGACUAUUAAGUCAGGGGUGAAAUCCCGGGGCUCAACCCCGGAACUGCCUUUGAUACUGGUAGUCUUGAGUUCGAGAGAGGUGAGUGGAAUUCCGGGUGUAGAGGUGAAAUUCGUAGAUAUUCGGAGGAACACCAGUGGCGAAGGCGGCUCACUGGCUCGAUACUGACGCUGAGGUGCGAAAGCGUGGGGAGCAAACAGGAUUAGAAACCCGGGUAGUCCCAUGAG